GUGGGCCACCGACAAUGAGGCGCUGGAGAGGGCCUUUUCUCAGUAUGGUGAGAUCAUCGAAUCGAAGGUCCGUUUGACGGAGAGAUCGGAUCUGACCCGAUUCGGCCUCGGCCAUCUGGCGUUCUGUUCUUCUCUCUGAUCUGAUUCUGUUUCUCUAUGUGUUACUUGAUCUAUGAUUCUCUGUUACUGUCUAUGAUUCUUAUUAUUACUCUCACAAGAUCGGGUACGUUCAUCUCAAUCUUUCUCUCCCAAAGAUUGAAGAUCGAUCGGUUCCUUUUUUUUGUUAUUGCCUUUUAAUUUUUGUUGUAAUUACUGCGUGGAUUUGUGGCUCUAAUGCGAUCCUGGUCUGUGUUUUCAGAUCAUCAACGACCGUGAGACUGGGAGGUCCAGGGGCUUCGGCUUCGUCACCUUCGGCAACGAGCAGGCUAUGAGGGAUGCAAUCGAAGCCAUGAACGGCCAGAACCUCGACGGCCGCAACAUCACCGUCAAUGAGGCUCAGUCUCGCGGAUCUGGAGGAGGCGGUGGCGGAGGAGGCUACAGCCGCGGAGGAGGCGGUGGUGGAUACGGAGGCAGUGGCGGGUACGGAGGCGGUGGUCGUCGUGAAGGCGGCGGAGGUGGCUACAGCCGUGGAGGUGGCGGUGGUGGAUAUGGCGGUGGCGGUGGUGGAUAUGGCGGUGGUCGUCGUGAGGGAGGAUACGGAGGUGGUGAGGGUGGCUAUUCCAGGGGUGGGGGUGGAGCUGAGGGCGGCAGCUGGAGAAGUUAAAUUAGGGUUAAGAUAGAGUAUUUGGGGCUCUGGAAUGUGUGAUCUCUCUGGUUAUGUGUUAGGGUUAGGGUUUGGAUCAGGUAGUUGGUUUGUCUGUCUGCGAUGGUGGUGGUGUCGGUGUCUCUUUCUGUUGUCGAUAAUUUUGAUCGAUGAAGGUGGUUCUAUGUUACUUUCCGAUGUAUUUGCGGUUCCCAAAAGAGAAAAAUAUGGUGUUUGAGAAAUGAAGUAUCUCUGUUUUACUUUAAUUUUCGUUAAUCUGCGGCAAUUAAUUUUGAGUUGUGAAAAUAUUGGUAAAAACGGAUUAUACCAACCUAUUGUAAUUAAGCAUAUUCUCAUGGACUCGUUAAUAUGUCAAUUAA
RNAcentral lists this long non-coding RNA (1122 nucleotides) under Malus domestica (apple). RNAcentral describes it as "long non-coding RNA (MDOM_LNC019123)". Lineage: Eukaryota; Viridiplantae; Streptophyta; Magnoliopsida; Rosales; Rosaceae. The record is from RNAcentral.